This 253-nucleotide ribosomal RNA is filed under the name uncultured bacterium. RNAcentral describes it as "partial 16S ribosomal RNA". It matches the Rfam family "Bacterial small subunit ribosomal RNA", at positions 524 to 776 of the family's 1533-position model. The record is from RNAcentral.
GACGUAGGGUGCAAGCGUUGUCCGGAUUUAUUGGGCGUAAAGCGCUCGUAGGCGGUUUGUUGCGUCGACUGUGAAAGCCCGCGGCUUAACCGCGGGCUUGCAGUUGAUACGGGCAGGCUAGAGUUCGGUAGGGGAGACUGGAAUUCCUGGUGUAGCGGUGAAAUGCGCAGAUAUCAGGAGGAACACCGGUGGCGAAGGCGGGUCUCUGGGCCGAUACUGACGCUGAGGAGCGAAAGCGUGGGGAGCGAACAGG